AGUGAACGCUGGCGGUAGGCCUAACACAUGCAAGUCGAACGGCAGCACAGUAAGAGCUUGCUCUUACGGGUGGCGAGUGGCGGACGGGCGAGGAAUACAUCGGAAUCUACUUUUUCGUGGGGGAUAACGUAGGGAAACUUACGCUAAUACCGCAUACGACCUACGGGUGAAAGCAGGGGAUCUUCGGACCUUGCGCGAUUGAAUGAGCCGAUGUCGGAUUAGCUAGUUGGCGGGGUAAAGGCCCACCAAGGCGACGAUCCGUAGCUGGCCUGAGAGGAUGAUCAGCCACACUGGAACUGAGACACGGUCCAGACUCCUACGGGAGGCAGCAGUGGGGAAUAUUGGACAAUGGGCGCAAGCCUGAUCCAGCAAUACCGCGUGGGUGAAGAAGGCCUUCGGGUUGUAAAGCCCUUUUGUUGGGAAAGAAAAGCAGCAGGUUAAUACCCCGCUGUUCUGACGGUACCCAAAGAAUAAGCACCGGCUAACUUCGUG
RNAcentral lists this ribosomal RNA (492 nucleotides) under uncultured bacterium. RNAcentral describes it as "partial 16S ribosomal RNA". It matches the Rfam family "Bacterial small subunit ribosomal RNA", at positions 29 to 507 of the family's 1533-position model. The record is from RNAcentral.